GUAUUGAUUGGUGCUUGCAUCAUGAUUUACAUUUGAGUGAGUGGCGAACUGGUGAGUAACACGUGGGAAACCUGCCCAGAAGCGGGGGAUAACACCUGGAAACAGAUGCUAAUACCGCAUAACAACUUGGACCGCAUGGUCCGAGCUUGAAAGAUGGCUUCGGCUAUCACUUUUGGAUGGUCCCGCGGCGUAUUAGCUAGAUGGUGGGGUAACGGCUCACCAUGGCAAUGAUACGUAGCCGACCUGAGAGGGUAAUCGGCCACAUUGGGACUGAGACACGGCCCAAACUCCUACGGGAGGCAGCAGUAGGGAAUCUUCCACAAUGGACGAAAGUCUGAUGGAGCAACGCCGCGUGAGUGAAGAAGGGUUUCGGCUCGUAAAACUCUGUUGUUAAAGAAGAACAUAUCUGAGAGUAACUGUUCAGGUAUUGACGGUAUUUAACCAGAAAGCCACGGCUAACUACGUGCCAGCAGCCGCGGUAAUACGUAGGUGGCAAGCGUUGUCCGGAUUUAUUGGGCGUAAAGCGAGCGCAGGCGGUUUUUUAAGUCUGAUGUGAAAGCCUUCGGCUCAACCGAAGAAGUGCAUCGGAAACUGGGAAACUUGAGUGCAGAAGAGGACAGUGGAACUCCAUGUGUAGCGGUGAAAUGCGUAGAUAUAUGGAAGAACACCAGUGGCGAAGGCGGCUGUCUGGUCUGUAACUGACGCUGAGGCUCGAAAGUAUGGGUAGCAAACAGGAUUAGAUACCCUGGUAGUCCAUACCGUAAACGAUGAAUGCUAAGUGUUGGAGGGUUUCCGCCCUUCAGUGCUGCAGCUAACGCAUUAAGCAUUCCGCCUGGGGAGUACGGCCGCAAGGCUGAAACUCAAAGGAAUUGACGGGGGCCCGCACAAGCGGUGGAGCAUGUGGUUUAAUUCGAAGCUACGCGAAGAACCUUACCAGGUCUUGACAUACUAUGCAAAUCUAAGAGAUUAGACGUUCCCUUCGGGGACAUGGAUACAGGUGGUGCAUGGUUGUCGUCAGCUCGUGUCGUGAGAUGUUGGGUUAAGUCCCGCAACGAGCGCAACCCUUAUUAUCAGUUGCCAGCAUUAAGUUGGGCACUCUGGUGAGACUGCCGGUGACAAACCGGAGGAAGGUGGGGAUGACGUCAAAUCAUCAUGCCCCUUAUGACCUGGGCUACACACGUGCUACAAUGGAUGGUACAACGAGUUGCGAACUCGCGAGAGUAAGCUAAUCUCUUAAAGCCAUUCUCAGUUCGGAUUGUAGGCUGCAACUCGCCUACAUGAAGUCGGAAUCGCUAGUAAUCGCGGAUCAGCAUGCCGCGGUGAAUACGUUCCCGGGCCUUGUACACACCGCCCGUCACACCUGAGAGUUUGUAACACCCAAAGUC
RNAcentral lists this ribosomal RNA (1385 nucleotides) under Lactiplantibacillus argentoratensis. Its description in RNAcentral is "bacterial SSU rRNA". It matches the Rfam family "Bacterial small subunit ribosomal RNA", at positions 64 to 1428 of the family's 1533-position model. The record is from RNAcentral. Lineage: Bacteria; Bacillati; Bacillota; Bacilli; Lactobacillales; Lactobacillaceae.